GCCCGGGAAUUACGAGCCCAAGCUUAAAACCCAAAGGACUUGACGGUGUCCCACCCACCUAGAGGAGCCUGUUCUAUAAUCGAUUAUCCCCGAUUUACCCCACCACUUCUCGAUUAUUCAGUCUGUAUACCUCCGUCGCAAGCUUACCAUGUGAACGCACCAAGUGAGCCAAAAGAUUUGACAUCCAUACGUCAGGUCAAGGUGCAACCUACGAAGCGGAAAGAAAUGGGCUACAAUCUCUAUGAUAGAACAAACGAAAGAUUACGUGAAAUACACUCAUCGAAGGCGGAUUUAGUAGUAAAAAGAAACCAGAGAGUUCUUUUUAAUUAGGCGCUGGGACGCGUACACACCGCCCGUCACCCUCUUCAAAUAACAAAACUCACGUUACUAACACCACAUGUCUAUGCAGAAGAGGCAAGUCGUAACACGGUAAGCGUACUGGAAAGUGCGCUUGGAAUAACAAAAUGUAACUUAACAAAAGUAUCCUGCUUACACCAAGAAUAUGUUAGUAAUAUCCUAACCAUUUUGAGCCUAAAAUCUAGCCCUACUAACUCAAAUGAAAUAACCAUCUUUUUUCUCACUCAAAUAAAACAUUCUCUCAACCUAGUAAAGGCGAUUAAAAAGUUCUUAGGAG
This 634-nucleotide ribosomal RNA is filed under the name Sphenophryne thomsoni (Thompson's toothless frog). RNAcentral describes it as "partial 12S ribosomal RNA". The stretch from base 1 to 467 matches the Rfam family "Bacterial small subunit ribosomal RNA", at positions 871 to 1533 of the family's 1533-position model. The record is from RNAcentral. Lineage: Eukaryota; Metazoa; Chordata; Amphibia; Anura; Microhylidae.